UGAAGGGGCAACAGGCUGUCAACAGUGGCAGUAGCUGGGGGCUCCCAUCUACUCAAAAGCCACAGAAAGUCUUUUCAUACUGCCUGAGGAAUUAAUCCCUUCUUUAACAUUCAUAAUUGCUGGAUCGAUUUAACAGGACUGGAGCUAACAUUUGCUUGGAUUUGGCACCAUUGAUAGGGAACUGCCUGCUGCGUCCUCCGCUUUGAAGUCACCCUGGUCUUUGGGCCUCCAGCACCUUCUUCAGCAUGUCCAACCCAUCUAAGAGGCGUAUGAUACUGGUGUUCCACUGGGUUAGAAAGAAGCCCCUGACAGAGAAGCUGUGCUCUACCAUCUCGGCCAGACCUUCUGCCUCUGCACCGGCUUGCAACACUCCUCACAUUUCACCUGCUUCACGAGGAGCAAGACACAACCCGCUCUGCUCAGGAGGUCCAGCAGGCGCAAGGUGCUGCGAUUGCCGAAUCUCACCGACCCCAAGUUUUUAAGAUCUGUCAUUGGCACCGUUGGCUGGAAGAGAGCCCACAGGCGUAGCAAGCAAAAGAAGACUCCAGCGGGAACAGGAAAAGGGGUGAGGGCUAGGCUAGAGGCAAGAAGGCUCCAAAGCUAUUUGCGGGGUGGGAUUGCUUUGGAAGAUGCCUUCUCACAAUCUCUACCCUUGAACCACGUAAGAACAUCAGAAGCGUCUGCUGGAUGAGGCCACAUUGGCCUGUCUAGUCCAGCACCCUGUUCUCACAGUGGCCAACCAGAGGCCUGUGGAAACAAGAGCAUUCUGUAUUCCCUUCCUGCAUCUUCCAGCAACUACUAUUCACAAAGGUUACUGCCACUGACUGUGGAGGUAGAGCAUAGCCAUUGUGCCUAGUGGCCAUUGAUAGCCUUUCCUGCAUAAAAGGAUCCAAGUUGGUGGCUGUCCCAGCUUUCUGUGGGAUUGAGCUUCCAGAGGGGUAGCUGAGCAUGCCUGCUGCAGGAAAAACAGGCAUUAAAAGCACAUUUCUCCCAAAGAAUCCUGGGAAUUGCAGUUUGUAAAGGGUGCUACAACAGUUCCCAGGAUUCUUACAGGGGAGAAGCGAUAAUGUUUUUAAUGUAUGGUGUGUACACAGCCUCAAAUUAGCUCCAUCAGCUCUGUAAUACUAGAGCAAAGAUAAUGCAUAUUGUUGUUGUUGUACUUUUAUAAAUAUUAUAAAACCCAUUCCUGCAAGCCAUGUAGUCUGGAAUAAACCCAGUCACCCCUCCCAUCAUUAAUUGUUUCUACUAGGUGGGGAGGGGUGUUGGAUCUGCUUCCCUGCCUUGAAGAAAGGCGCAGGUCAGAUGUGUGCCCAGACCUGGCCACGCUUCGCAAGAAAGGUGUGUUGGUUCAAGGUGGCCACGCGGCCUGCAACUUGCACUCCUUCCUGACGUGUCUUCCCCAAACCCCUUCUUCCAGAGGCUGUGUUGAAGUUUUCCAUCAUGUGGAACACAAACUGGCGGAACUACCUCGAGGCUCAGGCAGUGGUGGAAACCUUCCUCAAGCAUGAGACGCCAGAGAGCCUCUUGCAAUACGAAGGGAUCAAAGCAGCUGUGGAGUCUCUCCUACCAUACACGGCACUUCCAGAGGCUGGGCCGGUUACUGCAGGCCUCCAUGUUCCUUGAUUUUAUGUGACAAAAUGUGAAGUUGCCUGACGCCGCCAAGUGGGACGAGGAGAUGGACACGUGAUGAGCUUUCUUUAUUUAUUAUUAAUUUUAUUGAGUACAAAUUAGAAAAAAAUACAAAUAUACUAAAAAAGGAAGACACAUGUAACCAAUAAAAAAUUAGAAAACAUUUUACCUCUUCUGAUAUUUACAAUUAUUUGCACCUCUACAAAACAAUAUUCACAAUAAAGACAAGAAAUGAAAGGUAAAAUAUAAAAGAAAAGAACAAGAAGAAGAUAAAGAAAAGAAGAAGAUAAAGAAUAAGAUCAAGAUUGAGAAUUUUAAAAGUAGAUAAGUAUUCACUAUACACAGCCAUUUCCAAUCUAUAUUUAUGUUCAGUUAUGUAUUUUCAUCAUAUCCUUAUCUAUCUUAAUUAAAAUAUUUUUAAAAGACUUCCUCCGUUUACCUCACGCGUUUUUGAUAGUCCAUUUGUCAAAACUUCUGUUCUUCAUAUUUUUCCUUUGGGCUGCGCUCCGAAGGCUUCAGGGAUCUUUGAGGCUGGCGGUGGGGCAAAGCAGCGCUUCCCCCCCACUGCCAGCCCCACAAGCUUGGGGGGCAGUGGGAAGGUGGCGCACAGCCUUUGCGCUGCUCCCCGACCUGGUCUUUGAGGCUGGCAGUGGGGAAAGCAGCGCUUCCCCCCACCGCCAGCCCCACAAGCUCGGGGGGC
Podarcis lilfordi (Lilford's wall lizard) is the source of this 2329-nucleotide non-coding RNA. Lineage: Eukaryota; Metazoa; Chordata; Lepidosauria; Squamata; Lacertidae. The record is from the annotation of a GenBank genome assembly.